RNAcentral lists this ribosomal RNA (253 nucleotides) under uncultured bacterium. RNAcentral's name for it is "partial 16S ribosomal RNA". It matches the Rfam family "Bacterial small subunit ribosomal RNA", at positions 524 to 776 of the family's 1533-position model. The record is from RNAcentral.
UACGAAGGGGGCUAGCGUUGCUCGGAAUCACUGGGCGUAAAGCGCACGUAGGCGGAUCUUUAAGUCAGGGGUGAGAUCCCAAGGCUCAACCUUGGAACUGCCUUUGAUACUGAGGAUCUUGAGUUCGGGAGAGGUGAGUGGAACUGCGAGUGUAGAGGUGAAAUUCGUAGAUAUUCGCAAGAACACCAGUGGCGAAGGCGGCUCACUGGCCCGAUACUGACGCUGAGGCACGAAAGCGUGGGGAGCAAACAGG